GGUUAAGCGACUAAGCGUACACGGUGGAUGCCCUGGCAGUCAGAGGCGAUGAAGGGCGUGCUAAUCUGCGAUAAGCGCCGGUAAGGUGAUAUGAACCGUUAUAACCGGCGAUACCCGAAUGGGGAAACCCAGUGUGAUUCGUCACACUAUCAUUAACUGAAUCCAUAGGUUAAUGAGGCGAACCGGGGGAACUGAAACAUCUAAGUACCCCGAGGAAAAGAAAUCAACCGAGAUUCCCCCAGUAGCGGCGAGCGAACGGGGAGGAGCCCAGAGCCUGAAUCAGCAUGUGUGUUAGUGGAAGCGUCUGGAAAGGCGCGCGAUACAGGGUGACAGCCCCGUACACAAAAGCGCAUGUGCUGUGAGCUCGAUGAGUAGGGCGGGACACGUGGUAUCCUGUCUGAAUAUGGGGGGACCAUCCUCCAAGGCUAAAUACUCCUGACUGACCGAUAGUGAACCAGUACCGUGAGGGAAAGGCGAAAAGAACCCCGGCGAGGGGAGUGAAAAAGAACCUGAAACCGUGUACGUACAAGCAGUGGGAGCCCCACCACUAAGCCAGUGGUGAACUCCACAUCCGCAUCCUUUGCUGAGGAUACGGUUAACGGAGCGAAAGCGACGUUCAACCGCAAAACAAGCAGAGGGGGCUUAGUGGUGGGGUGACUGCGUACCUUUUGUAUAAUGGGUCAGCGACUUAUAUUCUGUAGCAAGGUUAACCGAAUAGGGGAGCCGGAGGGAAACCGAGUCUUAAUUGGGCGUUAAGUUGCAGGGUAUAGACCCGAAACCCGGUGAUCUAGCCAUGGGCAGGUUGAAGGUUGGGUAACACUAACUGGAGGACCGAACCGACUAAUGUUGAAAAAUUAGCGGAUGACCUGUGGCUGGGGGUGAAAGGCCAAUCAAACCGGGAGAUAGCUGGUUCUCCCCGAAAGCUAUUUAGGUAGCGCCUCGUGAAUUCAUCUCCGGGGGUAGAGCACUGUUUCGGCUAGGGGGCCAUCCCGGCUUACCAACCCGAUGCAAACUGCGAAUACCGGAGAAUGUUAUCACGGGAGACACACGGCGGGUGCUAACGUCCGUCGUGAAGAGGGAAACAACCCAGACCGCCAGCUAAGGUCCCAAAGUCAUGGUUAAGUGGGAAACGAUGUGGGAAGGCCCAGACAGCCAGGAUGUUGGCUUAGAAGCAGCCAUCAUUUAAAGAAAGCGUAAUAGCUCACUGGUCGAGUCGGCCUGCGCGGAAGAUGUAACGGGGCUAAACCAUGCACCGAAGCUGCGGCAGCGAACGUAUCACCCAAGACAACUUUACGGAGUUGACGAUUGACGGAGCGAAGCGACGUCAAAGCGUUCAUUAAAGUCGAGUUGGCUUAGGGAUACGUUCGUUGGGUAGGGGAGCGUUCUGUAAGCCUGUGAAGGUGUGUCGUGAGGCAUGCUGGAGGUAUCAGAAGUGCGAAUGCUGACAUAAGUAACGAUAAAGCGGGUGAAAAGCCCGCUCGCCGGAAGACCAAGGGUUCCUGUCCAACGUUAAUCGGGGCAGGGUGAGUCGACCCCUAAGGCGAGGCCGAAAGGCGUAGUCGAUGGGAAACGGGUUAAUAUUCCUGUACUUGGUGUUACUGCGAAGGGGGGACGGAGAAGGCUAUGUUGGCCGGGCGACGGUUGUCCCGGUUUAAGCGUGUAGGUGUGUGUUCCAGGUAAAUCCGGUUCACUUUAACACUGAGGCGUGACGACGAGGCACUACGGUGCUGAAGCAACAAAUGCCCUGCUUCCAGGAAAAGCCUCUAAGCAUCAGGUAACAUCAAAUCGUACCCCAAACCGACACAGGUGGUCAGGUAGAGAAUACCAAGGCGCUUGAGAGAACUCGGGUGAAGGAACUAGGCAAAAUGGUGCCGUAACUUCGGGAGAAGGCACGCUGACACGUAGGUGAAGUGAUUUACUCAUGGAGCUGAAGUCAGUCGAAGAUACCAGCUGGCUGCAACUGUUUAUUAAAAACACAGCACUGUGCAAACACGAAAGUGGACGUAUACGGUGUGACGCCUGCCCGGUGCCGGAAGGUUAAUUGAUGGGGUCAGCGCAAGCGAAGCUCCUGAUCGAAGCCCCGGUAAACGGCGGCCGUAACUAUAACGGUCCUAAGGUAGCGAAAUUCCUUGUCGGGUAAGUUCCGACCUGCACGAAUGGCGUAAUGAUGGCCAGGCUGUCUCCACCCGAGACUCAGUGAAAUUGAACUCGCUGUGAAGAUGCAGUGUACCCGCGGCAAGACGGAAAGACCCCGUGAACCUUUACUAUAGCUUGACACUGAACAUUGAGCCUUGAUGUGUAGGAUAGGUGGGAGGCUUUGAAGUGUGGACGCCAGUCUGCAUGGAGCCGACCUUGAAAUACCACCCUUUAAUGUUUGAUGUUCUAACGUGGACCCGUUACCCGGGUUGCGGACAGUGUCUGGUGGGUAGUUUGACUGGGGCGGUCUCCUCCUAAAGAGUAACGGAGGAGCACGAAGGUUGGCUAAUCCUGGUCGGACAUCAGGAGGUUAGUGCAAUGGCAUAAGCCAGCUUGACUGCGAGCGUGACGGCGCGAGCAGGUGCGAAAGCAGGUCAUAGUGAUCCGGUGGUUCUGAAUGGAAGGGCCAUCGCUCAACGGAUAAAAGGUACUCCGGGGAUAACAGGCUGAUACCGCCCAAGAGUUCAUAUCGACGGCGGUGUUUGGCACCUCGAUGUCGGCUCAUCACAUCCUGGGGCUGAAGUAGGUCCCAAGGGUAUGGCUGUUCGCCAUUUAAAGUGGUACGCGAGCUGGGUUUAGAACGUCGUGAGACAGUUCGGUCCCUAUCUGCCGUGGGCGCUGGAGAACUGAGGGGGGCUGCUCCUAGUACGAGAGGACCGGAGUGGACGCAUCACUGGUGUUCGGGUUGUCAUGCCAAUGGCACUGCCCGGUAGCUAAAUGCGGAAGAGAUAAGUGCUGAAAGCAUCUAAGCACGAAACUUGCCCCGAGAUAAGUUCUCCCUGAGACUUAGAGUCUCCUGAAGGAACGUUGAAGACGACGACGUUGAUAGGCCGGGUGUGUAAGCGCAGCGAUGCGUUGAGCUAACCGGUACUAAUGAACCGUGAGGCUUAACCUU
RNAcentral lists this ribosomal RNA (3091 nucleotides) under Salmonella enterica subsp. enterica. RNAcentral describes it as "23S ribosomal RNA". It matches the Rfam family "Bacterial large subunit ribosomal RNA". The record is from RNAcentral. Lineage: Bacteria; Pseudomonadati; Pseudomonadota; Gammaproteobacteria; Enterobacterales; Enterobacteriaceae. RNAcentral also lists the same sequence under 1 other name.